AGUGGAAUUUCUUGGUAUAAUGUUGGCUAUUUUUUAACUUUGUGAGAAACUGUCGAAUUGUUUUUCAAAGUGGUUGCACUAUUGUGCAUUCCCACCAGCAAU
Molecule: microRNA precursor, 102 nt
Filed under: Marmota monax (woodchuck)
Lineage: Eukaryota; Metazoa; Chordata; Mammalia; Rodentia; Sciuridae
Source: RNAcentral